GUGGGGAAUAUUGGGCAAUGGGGGAAACCCUGACCCAGCGACGCCGCGUGAGGGAAGACGGCCUUCGGGUUGUAAACCUCUUUUGUACGGGAAGAAGGAAGUGACGGUACUGUACGAAUAAGUCCCGGCUAACUACGUGCCAGCAGCCGCGGUAAUACGUAGGGGACGAGCGUUGUCCGGAAUUACUGGGCGUAAAGGGCGCGCAGGCUGUGCUGCAAGUCAGCUGUGAAAUGUCUGGGCUUAACCCGGGCAUGCGGUUGAGACUGCAGUGCUGGAGUGCGGUAGAGGCAAGUGGAAUUCCCAGUGUAGCGGUGAAAUGCGUAGAUAUUGGGAAGAACACCGGUGGCGAAGGCGACUUGCUGGGCAGCAACUGACGCUGAGGCGCGAAAGCCAGGGGAGCAAACGGGAUUAGAUACCCGUGUAGUCC
RNAcentral lists this ribosomal RNA (427 nucleotides) under uncultured bacterium. Its description in RNAcentral is "partial 16S ribosomal RNA". It matches the Rfam family "Bacterial small subunit ribosomal RNA", at positions 354 to 796 of the family's 1533-position model. The record is from RNAcentral.